UACGUAGGGGGCAAGCGUUGUCCGGAAUCAUUGGGCGUAAAGCGCGUGUAGGCGGCCCGGUAAGUCCGCUGUGAAAGUCCAGGGCUCAACCCUGGGAUGCCGGUGGAUACUGUCGGGCUCGAGUCCGGAAGAGGAGUGUGGAAUUCCUGGUGUAGCGGUGAAAUGCGCAGAUAUCAGGAGGAACACCAAUGGCGAAGGCAGCUCACUACACGAAUAUUGACACUGAGGCACGAAAGCGUGGGGAUCAAACAGG
This 253-nucleotide ribosomal RNA is filed under the name uncultured bacterium. Its description in RNAcentral is "partial 16S ribosomal RNA". It matches the Rfam family "Bacterial small subunit ribosomal RNA", at positions 524 to 776 of the family's 1533-position model. The record is from RNAcentral.